GAGAGUAUAGCUCAAGUGGUAGAGUGCAUGCUCAGCAUGCACAAGGUCCUGGGUUCAAUUCCCAGUACCUCCU
RNAcentral lists this transfer RNA (73 nucleotides) under Camelus bactrianus (Bactrian camel). It matches the Rfam family "tRNA". From Rfam's summary of the family: Transfer RNA (tRNA) molecules are approximately 80 nucleotides in length. Their secondary structure includes four short double-helical elements and three loops (D, anti-codon, and T loops). Further hydrogen bonds mediate the characteristic L-shaped molecular structure. tRNAs have two regions of fundamental functional importance: the anti-codon, which is responsible for specific mRNA codon recognition, and the 3' end, to which the tRNAs corresponding amino acid is attached (by aminoacyl-tRNA synthetases). tRNAs cope with the degeneracy of the genetic code in two manners: having more than one tRNA (with a specific anti-codon) for a particular amino acid; and 'wobble' base-pairing, i.e. permitting non-standard base-pairing at the 3rd anti-codon position. The record is from Rfam by way of RNAcentral. RNAcentral also lists the same sequence under 1 other name. Lineage: Eukaryota; Metazoa; Chordata; Mammalia; Artiodactyla; Camelidae.